AUGGCCAGGCCAGCGUGCUUGGGAGCGGUCGCCGUCGUACUGGUGGUGCUGUGCGCCGCCGUGUCCUCUGCGGCCGCGCAGCCGCGCCGCCCGCUGCCGCCGAACACCCGGGUAAUCCACCCUGGACGGUUCGGCAAGAGGACGCAGACUCUCACCUGCGACAACACCAAGGACAAGAGGAACCCCUGCGUGGCCACCUGCGAUAAGCGCUGCCCCAACGAGUGCCUCGUCCUCUGCCCCAGCUGCAAGACAUACUGCUGUAAGCAUAUAUAUACAUCUCCAACCUCCCCCCAGUCUCAAGCCAUGCAUGCCCUUCUUUUUUAA
Molecule: ribosomal RNA, 324 nt
Filed under: Triticum aestivum (bread wheat)
Lineage: Eukaryota; Viridiplantae; Streptophyta; Magnoliopsida; Poales; Poaceae
Description: partial small subunit ribosomal RNA
Source: RNAcentral